RNAcentral lists this ribosomal RNA (253 nucleotides) under uncultured bacterium. RNAcentral's name for it is "partial 16S ribosomal RNA". It matches the Rfam family "Bacterial small subunit ribosomal RNA", at positions 524 to 776 of the family's 1533-position model. The record is from RNAcentral.
UACGGAGGGUGCAAACGUUGCUCGGAAUCAUUGGGCGUAAAGCGCGGGCAGGCGGCCCGCUCAGUCGGCCGUGAAAGCGCCGGGCUCAACUCGGCGAGGUCGGGCGAUACUGGCGGGCUGGAGGCUGGUAGAGGGCGGUGGAAUUCCGGGUGUAGUGGUGGAAUGCGUAGAGCUCCGGAGGAACACCAGUGGCGAAGGCGGCCGCCUGGGCCAGUCCUGACGCUGAGCCGCGAAAGCGUGGGGAGCGAUCCGG